RNAcentral lists this transfer RNA (71 nucleotides) under Neotoma lepida (desert woodrat). It matches the Rfam family "tRNA". Rfam says of the family: Transfer RNA (tRNA) molecules are approximately 80 nucleotides in length. Their secondary structure includes four short double-helical elements and three loops (D, anti-codon, and T loops). Further hydrogen bonds mediate the characteristic L-shaped molecular structure. tRNAs have two regions of fundamental functional importance: the anti-codon, which is responsible for specific mRNA codon recognition, and the 3' end, to which the tRNAs corresponding amino acid is attached (by aminoacyl-tRNA synthetases). tRNAs cope with the degeneracy of the genetic code in two manners: having more than one tRNA (with a specific anti-codon) for a particular amino acid; and 'wobble' base-pairing, i.e. permitting non-standard base-pairing at the 3rd anti-codon position. Lineage: Eukaryota; Metazoa; Chordata; Mammalia; Rodentia; Cricetidae. The record is from Rfam by way of RNAcentral.
GAGUUUGGAGCUCAGUAGUUUAGAGCACUUGUUUCUCUUGCAGAAGAUCUGAGAUCAAAUCUCAGCACUCA